UACGUAGGGCGCGAGCGUUGUCCGGAUUUAUUGGGCGUAAAGAGCUCGUAGGCGGCUCAUUGCGUCAAUCGUGAAAUCCUGUGGCUCAACUACAGGCUUGCGGUUGAUACGGGUGGGCUGGAGUUCGGUAGGGGAGACUGGAAUCCCUGGUGUAGCGGUGAAAUGCGCAGAUAUCAGGAGGAACACCGGUGGCGAAGGCGGGUCUCUGGGCCGAUACUGACGCUGAGGAGCGAAAGCGUGGGGAGCAAACAGG
This 253-nucleotide ribosomal RNA is filed under the name uncultured bacterium. RNAcentral describes it as "partial 16S ribosomal RNA". It matches the Rfam family "Bacterial small subunit ribosomal RNA", at positions 524 to 776 of the family's 1533-position model. The record is from RNAcentral.